UGUCAGAGCUGUCAAGAGAACUUUAUUCAUUGGAAACUGGGCCAGAGACCCCUCACGAAGCUGCAAGCCCCUGGGCCCUGGGCCCUUCUGUAUUUGGACCCUAGUGAAAUGUGCACAGUCUGCCCUCUCCAUGCCAGGGAGAGACAGAGAGGAAUGCCAUUUUUCUGUGUGAUGUGGGAGUGACAGGGGAAAGAGCAGAAAUCCGGUUAUCCCUCCUGAGACUCCCAGUGAGCUGGGGUGCCACAGGGCACGUGGCCCCAAAGUCAGGUGUUAAUGCUGUCCUAGCGUGAGUGCCUGCGUGGAGCAUGGAGGGGUGGGCAGGCAGGGAAGGAGGCUUCAGAGGUAGACAUUGAGGGUCUGCAGGAUGCCCCGGCGGCAGAGCGGGCAAUUGCGGUGGUAGACGGGGUGGCGCAUCAGGAUUUCAGUGCAGGCCUGGCACAGGCACAGAUGCCGGCAGGGCAGGAGCAACACUGUCUUGCUCUGGUCCUGGCAGAUGACACACUUCUUCCGCUCCUCUUGCUCCUUCAGCAAUUUCCAAGGGUCUUGCCCACCUGGAGGCUCCUCCUCAUUGAGCCUCUCUCGGCCCCUGACAGGUGCCCCUCCCCGGUUUGGCCAACUCGCCAGCUGCAGACUGCGG
This 637-nucleotide long non-coding RNA is filed under the name Homo sapiens (human). RNAcentral describes it as "HSALNT0182053". The record is from RNAcentral. Lineage: Eukaryota; Metazoa; Chordata; Mammalia; Primates; Hominidae.